Molecule: non-coding RNA, 2759 nt
Organism: Pelodiscus sinensis (Chinese soft-shelled turtle)
Lineage: Eukaryota; Metazoa; Chordata; Testudines; Trionychidae
Source: RefSeq, a predicted model, not a curated record
ACCUAGUGGUUCCCAGUGCAUGUCGUGGUUGAAGGGUGAAACAAGAAGGGGGCAAUUCCUUUGUUUUUUGUAAUGACACAAAAUGCUUUCCACAUCUCCCUCUCCCAAACUCCCCCCCCCCAAAAAAGGAGGAAGGGGUUAAAGCAAGGACAGCAAAUGGAAUCAGCUAUGAAAUGAGAAUGGCUUCUUUACAAUUUCUCUCACUCAUCCCUAAAAAUCUCCCCACUCUCAAACCCAGCCUGGCUUCCCUAGGUCGAUUGCAUUCACCAGGGCUCCAUGUCAAUGUAUCAGAGCUGUGGUUACAAGGCUACGGAGAAGGCUCAGCCAUGAGCUGCAGUUGUAAAGCAGGAUGGGGGGGAGAGGCGGAGAAGGGGGGGGGGCACAGCGCUGCCAAGGCGGCUCUAGCCCUGCUGAAGGGAAUUGAUUAGAAAUCUCUCUGGCCAAGGGCUGCUUUGCUGUUUUGUAAUCCAGUCUGAAGUCCCCUCCCUCUAUGCCCUUUUCCUGGGCCUCAAAGGUCCUACAAGAGAGCAAGGGGACCACCUGAAAAUACUGGUACAGGCCACCCACUCAGUCAUUUCAGGCUUCUGUCAACCCCUCCUCUUUCAGCUGAUAAUUUACAAAGAGGAAUAUAAGAUUUAACACCUCUCUUUCCCACAUAUUUUACCAUACAGCUUGCAAAAAAGAACCUUUAUUAAUCAGAUAAUGGUUCAGAGCCAUUUUUCACAUGUCCUGAGGGCUCGUGCUUAAAACAACUAUCAAACAGAGGGGCGUGGGCCAGCUAUAUGAACCACUCCAUCAGUUAUUUACACAUUGUAUCAUAAUAUAAAUCAAAGCUCCAUAAACUGUUGCUUAUGUGUCCAAGUGCUUGGAUAAAACUUAAUUUGCUAAUCAUCUAAGUUAGAUUUGUUUGGGAGGCUAUUGGGUUUCUAGCUUCAGCUGCUAUAUAAAAUCCUGCUUCACAGAACUCUGGUGGUUUUCAGGCAAAGUGCAGGAAUACAAACAGCACAUGAGACUAAAGUAUCUCCUCCCGUCCCUUGACAGCUUUAUGUAAAAAUCUGUCCCCUUCAUACCUCUCCUGUCCCAUACUAUUUUAAAAUAUAAGCAUGUUGGGUUACUCCAGUUUCAAACAAGUACAACUGUUCGUGCUUGUAAUACCAGGCUGUUUUAGUACCUCGCCUAAUAAUAUCAAAAACAUACCAAUUACUCACAUCUCAUUAGCAUCUAUACAAAAUUAUUUGUUGCGGGAACAUUUAGAUUCACAAUGGCUUCUCUCCACAAUCAAUUGCCUAACUAAUAAUGUUCAAAAUGUACAUAAACUUUUGUCUUAACUUGACCAGCACGCUGCUUUCCUCUUUCCUGUGAAGAAUAUCCUCCAAAGAAAAGACCCUAUAAGCAAUAUUGCACUACUACCCUGAUCACAAAAGCAGAGGCAAUAUUGAUAGGGUCUCUUCCUUAAGGGUAGGAAGCUGGAUUGUGCUUCCUGCAGCAGGUGGCUGGAUCUUCCAUUACAGGUCUGCAAAUAUGGAAGAGGUAAAAGUUAGAAAAUAAAUCAUCCCUAGAAAAUAGAGCAUCCCUAUAAAGAAUUAUUCACCCCCUUUGAAAGGGGAAUCAGAAAGGUUAGCAAGUGAGAGAAACGUUUAAGUGUAUGAGUGUUUUGGAAAAUAGACUCUCAUUGCUCCUCCCCCCCCUUUCCCACCACCAAUAACAAAUAUUUAAUUCCAGCAUGUAUUUUACCCAGAUUUCUAUACUCAUUCUUGGAAAGGUGACAUAAUCUUUCUAAAUCCAGAUUGUUUCCUCUCUUUUGUCUAAAAUACCAGAUCACGUAGUUGCCCAAGGUAGAAGAUGGGAAGGUUUACUAUUUAUUUUAUUACUAGAUAGUUAUAUUUUGAACCUAUGUAACGUGCUUCCGAACUUGUAGGAUUCCCUUUCUAGGGUUUUACUGCUUACAUGGACCAGAGGUUUAAAAUAUCUCUCUGAAUCCUGUGUUGGAAAAAAGAGCAUUAAACACAGAGAUUAGAAAGCGAAACAAGGUCUGUAUAGAUGACUCCGUGGCUCAGUCCCUAAAAUAACAUACACAAUUACAAAGUAAUAUCUGAGCUGUUUCCCUGAGAAGGUUCAUUUUGUGCCAUAAUUAAAGGCAGGAAAGUUCUGUAGACAGAGGUGCCUGUUCUACACACUGGUGUUCUCAACACAUUGGUGACCACAUAUAUAAGUCUCACAGAAGAGGCAGGACACCUCCACAUCUUCUCCAAAUUCAGAGCUGCUUCACUAAGUCAACCUGCUUUGCUCUAGUUGAGUUAUUAUAUAAACCUGCCCCAUUAUACCCAUUAUCUAGUAACACUUGAGAAUCUAGGGUGAAAAGGAAGGACACUUUAUUCCCAGGCCAUCCCAACCCAAUUCACAAAUUUGACACUUUAAGCUUCUCUUUCCUCAGUCUACUUGCCAGUAGGUGAAAGAAUGGAAUGGAGAGACAAUCCUCUAAUUCAUGGAUUCUUGGCUAAUUUAUGCAUUCCACAUUGAUCUGGUCUUGGUCAUUAGAGAUUCCUGGAGUUUGGCACUCUGGUGUGAGACAGCUCUCUGUCCCCUUUGAUGAUAGUUCACUGGCCAAAAGAAACUAAAACACAAGAACACUGUCCAGAAGCGGGAUCAGAGCAAUGAUGCAUUAAUUGUUUUUAAAAUAGACUGAUAAAAAAAACACAUCCAAUUUGCCCCUCACUUCCCAUCCACCCCAUUUUUCAGGUAUUUUUUGGAGGCAGAUA